Long non-coding RNA from Ipomoea nil (Japanese morning glory), 681 nucleotides. RefSeq lists it as uncharacterized. The transcript has 2 exons. The record is from RefSeq and is a predicted model, not a curated record. Lineage: Eukaryota; Viridiplantae; Streptophyta; Magnoliopsida; Solanales; Convolvulaceae.
CUCAAUCCUCUGAUCAAACCUUUUGUUGUACAGAUAACACAAAGCGGGCAGAACUGAAGAGUCGAGCCCAUAGAAGACAAUUUGCAAUGGCGUCCAGAGCGGUGGCAUCAAGAGCGAGCCGAAUCAAGACGAGGCUAUUGUCUACGCUGGAAGCGAGCCUAGUUGAAGUGGAAGACGUCUCCUACCAGCAUGCAGGCCACGCGGCCGUGAAGGAGAGCGGCUCUAAUGGCGAGACCCACUUCAACGUGAAGAUCGUCUCCGGCAAGUUCGAUGGCCAGAACCUUGUGAAACGACACCGUAUGGUCUACGAUCUGCUCUCUGAUGAGCUCCAAUCUGGACUCCACGCUCUCUCUAUCGUCGCUAAAACCCCCAAAGAAGCUGGCCUUAACUGAAAUUGUUGGGUAUUAUUCGAUUUUGGGUGCUUCUGCUUAAACGAAAUGGAAGAGUUUAGUUGUUCAAGUUCAUUUGCACUGUAAGGUAUGCAGUUCUUUGUGGCAUGUUCUAAUUAUUCCUAGUUUUAAAUGUUCUUUUCUUCAUAUCAUCUAACUUGUUCUCAGGAUAUUGAACUCUCCAUGGAAAUUGUGGUUAUUUAUCGUUAGAUGCAGCUAGAAGUGCAAAAAUGCUCUAAUUUGAUGUUAUUUUCCAUACCGUAUGUCCCUAAAGAGGAAAAUGUAGUUGAUA